GGGCAACCUUUACUGCAGUUGCUCUCAAUCUAAAGAUGCAUGAACUAAAGAACCAAGUUUUCUUCUCCAUACUCAUCCAGCAUACAAUGGCAAGACAGGGCCAUGGCCACUGCAUUAGUUGUUGGAGUUGUGAGACUUACUGAAGCUUUGUCUGGAUUCCAGUAUUUUCAGGAGCAAACAAAGGAAUAAUGGUGCAAUUUUGGCAUAUUUGAAGAAACUUGUCAAGUUUUUUGAAGGAGCUGGCUUGGUUCACUCUUCAGGUGGUGUUCAGUCCCGGAAGAAUCACACCACAUAAUGCUGACACUGGGGGUACGUUGGCUCUCACGGAAAAGGUAUCAUAAAAUCUUAUACCUGUUUUCCCGACCGCCCAGUGAUGACUGUACUUUUCCUGA
This is a long non-coding RNA of Globicephala melas (long-finned pilot whale), 392 nucleotides long. RefSeq lists it as uncharacterized. NCBI's taxonomy places the organism in Eukaryota, Metazoa, Chordata, Mammalia, Artiodactyla, Delphinidae. The record is from RefSeq and is a predicted model, not a curated record.